Molecule: long non-coding RNA, 1975 nt
Filed under: Triticum aestivum (bread wheat)
Lineage: Eukaryota; Viridiplantae; Streptophyta; Magnoliopsida; Poales; Poaceae
Description: long non-coding RNA (TAES_LNC007991)
Source: RNAcentral
UCUUUCCUUUCUCUCCGAUGGUGGAGUCUAGGCGACGAAGGCGACCCUAGCACUGGAUGGAGCCCUCGAUGGAGCACGCGCCGCCGCCGGCGGUAAGCUCUCCUCCUUUUCCAUGUCCAUCUCCUCCAUGUGAAUAGCCGCAGGUAAGCUGUCGGUUAGCUCUGCCCUCUCAGUUGUGUUACUUGUAAUCCAUGUCAAUGGCGUGGUGCUGGAUCUGGUCAAUGUCCAUGGUGUGGAGCUAGAUCUGGCACGUCUCCAUGUGCUAGAUCCGUUCAAUGUCCAUGUCAUAAUCUUCUACUUCUUUUCUCCAUCUGUCUACUAAUUGCUGAACAUAGGGUCUUGGCACCGAAAAGAGCAUGUCUUUCAAGAUAGGGUUUAAGGAAUGUUUGCAUGAUCAAAAGGCAUGGCUUUGUUCAAGGCUAAAAUACUAGCACUUGUGUCAAGAAAGUUUAGUUAUGAUUUUCAGUUAUACGUGUCAAAAUUCAGUUGAGGUGGUCAGGAAAAGUUCAGUUAUUGUGGUCAGAAAUAUUAAGAUAUCGCUUUCUUCAGGAUUGAAACACUAACACUUGUAGAUCUGAAGUGGGCGCAAGGAUUGUUGGCAGAAUCAAAAUGAUUCGUGAUAGAUCUCAAGUUAGGGUUCAUGAGUGAAGCAUUAACACAUGUGUCAAUUAAGUUCAAUCAUGUCCAUGUAAUUAUUAGUCUCCAAAAAGUUCAGUUUCAGGCAUGUCUUUGAAGAGUUUGGUUACUUCUGCCAAGAUUCAUCACAGGGAAUUUUGUCUUCUACAGAUGGACCAAUGGUCGUUGCUUAGGUUCAUUGUGCAUACAAAAGCUAUUAUUCAACCUCGCCCUUUUCCUUGGCGUCUAGACACAGUUACUAUUGAUAAUUUGAAGAAGGAGUUGAUGCAACUAGGGUUAAGCAGAGAUGAUUUUAUCUACUAUAGAAGCAUCCAUUGACAGGUAUGAGGCUACAGGAUGAAAAUGAUUGAACUGACGGAUCAAAAUACAAUUGCUAGCAUGGUUGAAGAAUACAAUUCAUGAUAGACUGUUGAAUUGCAUUGUACAGGAAACCUGAUUGGUUUGUAGAACCAGCUCCAUAUAUGUGUUGCUCAACAUGGAACAUCUAUUGUUGAGCAUGGAGCUACUGUUGCUCAAGCUGCAAUUGUUGUUGAGCAUUGAGUUGUUGUUGCUCAAGCUCCAAUUGUUGCUGAGCAUGGAGCAGUUGAUGCUCAAGCUCCAAUUUUUGCUGAGCAUGGAGAAGUUGUUGCUGCCCAUGGGUCAACUAUUGGUGAUGAUCAUGUUGCAAGUGGUGUUGAUUCUGUGCAGGUGUAGGUUGUGGCUAAUGGUCAGGAAUACCAAUCAGGGUUUGUUGAUGGUCCAACUGUUGAUGAAGAAAUUUAGUUAAGUCAAGCUAAUUAACAAGAUUGUUGUAUUUUUUUCCCAUGAAGAGUACAAUGUUGCUGACUAUAGUGAUGAUGAGGACCUUGAUAUUUAUGUGAGACAAAAAAGAUGAGAAGAGAAUAUGAAGAGAAGUGGCAGAAAGAGAUGGCAAAACUGGUGUUUAAUCAGAGGAUGAGUAUGAGGAUAUUUUCUGUUGGUGAGGAUGCUGACCCAAUGGUGAAGUGCCACUCGGAAAUAUUGAAGCAAAUUUAUUUGGCAAAAGCAGAGGUAGCAAGCAUAAGAGAAGGAUGGAAGAUAGGAAGAUGGUUGUACAAGAGAGAAUGGCAGAGAAGAUGAAGCUAGUUGAUGAGAAAAUAAAAAUCAAGGAAGGAGGAGUGUGGUUUAUCUGAUGAGAAAAACCAAUCAACUCUAGAAUGCAAUUUGAUGAUUCAGUUAUGAGCAGACAACGUCCAUGUUCCGGUUUGCUUCUUUGAAUCAUCAAAUUGCUCUACUGAAACCAUGUGUGUGUCACUGAACUACUGAACACAUGCUUGUGUUCAUAUACCUAGAUUGGUACUCUAAAUAUGGUGAUUCAAAU